AGGUCUUCAAUAAGUAUUUGUUGAAAGAAUAAAUGAACUAACAAGUCUUAUUUGAGCACCUGUUAUG
RNAcentral lists this microRNA precursor (67 nucleotides) under Fukomys damarensis (Damara mole-rat). RNAcentral describes it as "mir-1264 microRNA precursor family". It matches the Rfam family "mir-1264 microRNA precursor family". Lineage: Eukaryota; Metazoa; Chordata; Mammalia; Rodentia; Bathyergidae. The record is from Rfam by way of RNAcentral.